UCUUAGAUGACUGAGGUAAAAGUGUUAGAUUUUUAAUCUAAAAACGGCAAUUGUGUGCCUCUAAGAAC
RNAcentral lists this transfer RNA (68 nucleotides) under Reticunassa festiva. RNAcentral describes it as "Nassarius festivus tRNA-Lys". It matches the Rfam family "tRNA". Rfam says of the family: Transfer RNA (tRNA) molecules are approximately 80 nucleotides in length. The record is from RNAcentral. Lineage: Eukaryota; Metazoa; Mollusca; Gastropoda; Neogastropoda; Nassariidae.